Molecule: unclassified non-coding RNA, 222 nt
Filed under: uncultured Ascomycota
Lineage: Eukaryota; Fungi; Ascomycota
Description: sequence contains ITS1
Source: RNAcentral
CCGAGUUAGGGUUCUCUGAAAACGAGGCCCGACCUCCCAACCCUGUGUUUAUACCGACCACUGUUGCUUCGGCGGACCGCCUCUCCUCUCUGUUCCAGGGAGGGUUGUGGGCGCCGGGGGCGAGAGAUCGUCCCUGGAGCGCGUCCGUCGACGGCCAUCAAACAAACUCUUUUUUAGAAACCACCUUCUGAAAACCUUUUAGUUAUUGAAUUAACAAAAACA